AAUUUAAGCGUAUGGGGGAUGCCUUGACUGAAGUAAGCUAAGAAGGACGUGGCAGUCUGCGAUAAGCUUCGGGGAGCUGGCAAGCGAGCUUUGAUCCGGAGAUUUCCGAAUGCGGCAACGCAAUAGGGCAAAACCCUAUUAACCUGUCAAUUUGACGGGUGGCGCACCCUGGGAAUUGAAACAUCUUAGUACCGGGAGGAAAAGAAAAUAACAUAUUAUUCCGUUAGUAGUGGCGAGCGAAAGCGGAAAAGCCUAAACCGAUACCUAGCAUCGGGAUUUCGAAUUUCAGAUUCUGAAUUUUGAAUGAAUUUUCAAUGGUUUAAUUUUAAAAACUAAUUCAUUGAAGUUUGUUUGGAAAUUGGAAAUUGAGACUUGGAAGUUCCGCUGCUAGGUAGCGGUGUUGCGAGAUAAUUAUUCCUAUUUAAUUAGGGUAGAGUGAAAAAUUCCAAUACUAGCCGAAUACUUUUGGAAAGUUGAACCACAGAGGGUAAUAGUCCCGUAGGCGAAAGUGGCGGAACUCUAUAGUAAUUAUUCUCAAGUAGGGCGGGACAGGAGAAAUCCCGUCUGAAUCUGGGAGCACUACUCUCCCAAGGCUAAAUAUUACUUCAGAUCGAUAGCGAACUAGUACCGUGAGGGAAAGGUGAAAAGUACCCCGAAAGGGGGGUUAAAAGACCUGAAACCAUACGCAGACAAAGAGUCAGAGCCCUGUAGCUCUCCGAGCAACGGGGUGAUGGCGUGCUUUUUGUAGAACGAGCCAACGAGUCAGAUUUACACGGCUUGCUUAACCCGAGAAGUUGCGGGGGAGGCAUAGUGAAAGCGAGGCUUAAUUGCCGUUAUUGUCGUGUGAACUGGACCCGAAGCCGGGCGAGCUAUGCAUGAGCAGGGUGAAUCUCAAGUAAAAUUGGGAGGAGGCCCGAACCCAUUGGUCGUGCGACUCCAUGGGAUGACUUGUGCAUAGAGGAGAAAUUCCAAUCGAGCUCGGCGAUAGCUGGUUCUCUCCGAAAUAGCUCUAGGGCUAGCGUCGGGAAACUAUUAACGGGAGGUAGAGCGACUGAAAAAGAAAUCGUGGUUUCGGCCUAGGUUUCUUUACCAAACUCCGAAUGCCCGUUAAACUAUCUCGGCAGUCAGUACUACGGGGCUAAGCUCGUAGCACAAAAGGGAAACAGCCCAAAUCGCAGUCUAAGGUCCCUAAUUUAUACUAAGUGGGAAAGGUAGUGAAAUUACUUAAACAGCUAGGAGGUUGGCUUAGAAGCAGCCAUCCUUUAAAGAGUGCGUAACAGCUCACUAGUCAAGUGAUUUUGCAUCUAAAAUGUAACGGGGCUAAGUAUAAUACCGAAGACGCGGGUCGAUACCUAGCAUCGGGAUUUCGAAUUUCAGAUUCUGAAUUUUGAAUGAAUUUUCAAUGGUUUAAUUUUAAAAACUAAUUCAUUGAAGUUUGUUUGGAAAUUGGAAAUUGAGACUUGGAAGUUCCGCUGCUAGGUAGCGGCGGUAGGAGAGCGUUCCUGGUGUGUUGAAGCUGUAUCGCGAGGUAUGGUGGAACGCCAGGAAGUGAGAAUGUUGGCAUGAGUAGCCGCAAUUCUGAUGAAAUCUCAGAACGUCGAAAGUCUAAGGUUUCCUCCGCUAUGGCAAUCAUCGGAGGGUUAGGCGGUCCUAAGGUGAGUCCCGGCUUCGGUCGGGGGUAAUCGAUGGAUAGACGGUUAAUAUUCCGUCCCUGCUAUGUUAUUCGAUGGAGCGACACAUUCUAGUAGUUCUUGCCGGUUAUUGGAUUCCGGUAAGUUUAUUGAGGUGGUCAGAUAGGUAAAUCCGUUUGACAAUACACCAAGAUGAAUUUCGAACCUCAACCUUGUGUUUGGGGGAAGAAGAGUGAGCAGGAUGUCGGGAAAAACUUCUAAGGUCAAUGGCGUAGUAUCCGUACUAAAACCGACACAGGUAGACUGGGCGAGAAGCCUAAGACGAAUGAGAUAACCCUCGUUAAGGAACUCGGCAAAUUAGCGUCCGUAAGUUAGCGAUAAGGACUGCCUUGAUUUUAAAUCGAGGCCGCAGCUAAAGAUCCCUGGCGACUGUUUACCAAAAACACAGCUCUCUGCAAACCCGUAAGGGGAAGUAUAGGGGGUGACGCCUGACCAGUGCUGGAACGUUAACGGGAAAGGUGCAAGCCAAUCUCCGAAGCGCCAGUGAACGUCAGCGAUAACUAUAAUCGUUCUAAGGUAGCGAAACUCCUUGUCAGGUAAAUUCUGACCCGCAUCAAAGGCGUAACGACUUGGGAACUGUCUCAACGAGGGGCUCAGUGAAAUUGCAGUGGGGGUGAAGAUGCCCCCUUCCUACAGCAAGACGAAAAGACCCCGUGGAGCUUUACUACAACUUGGCAUUGCGUUUGAGAUUAUGCUGCCGAGCAUAGGUGGGAGACUCUGAAGUUUCGAUUCCGGUCGAAAUGGAGUCAACAGUGGAAUACCACCCUGUGUGAUUUUGAGCGCUAACCCUGGUCUGUUAUUUGAAUCUUUUUUUAGGUUUUUAAACAGAAAAGAUGGUUAGGAUGAUUCAAGUUAGUUAAAAAAGUUAGUUUCACUAAUCAAUCUUUUCUGUAUGAUCUCUAAUACUUAGGGUUCAAAUACCAGACCGGGAACAGUGCCUGGUGGGUAGUUUGACUGGGGCGGUCGCCUCCUAAACAGUAACAGAGGCGUUCACAAAGGUCGGCUAUCCCGCGAUGGAAAUGCGGGAGAUAGGGCAAAGCCAGAAGCCGGCUUUACUGCGAGACUUGUUAGUCAAGCAGUCGCGAAAGCGGGACUUAGUGAACCGACCGUCACAUGUAGAUGUGCGGAAGAUCAGCAGAUAAAAGUUACCCCGGGGAUAACAGGCUAAUAGCGCCCAAUAGUUCACAUAGACGGCGCUGUUUGGCACCUCGAUGUCGGCUCAUCUCAUCCUGGGGCUGGAGAAGGUCCCAAGGGUAUGGCUGUUCGCCAUUUAAAGAGGUACGCGAGCUGGGUUCAAACCGUCGUGAGACAGGUUGGUCUCUAUCUGCUGUAGGCGUUAGUGUUUGAGAAUGAUUCUUCCUUAGUACGAGAGGACCGGGAAGAGCAAACCUCUGGUCGACCAGCUGUUCCUGCCAAGGGCACUGCUGGGUAGCUAUGUUUGUCGAGGAUAACCGCUGAAAGCAUCUAAGCGGGAAGCCCACUUCAAGAUAAGACACUAUGACUUCCUGAUAGACUAUCAGGUUGAUAGGCUCUAGGUGUAAGUCCGGUAACGGAUUCAGCCGAGGAGUACUAAUAAGUCUUUAUGGC
This 3278-nucleotide ribosomal RNA is filed under the name Candidatus Moraniibacteriota bacterium. RNAcentral describes it as "Candidatus Moranbacteria bacterium (sediment metagenome) 23S ribosomal RNA". It matches the Rfam family "Bacterial large subunit ribosomal RNA". Lineage: Bacteria; Candidatus Moraniibacteriota. The record is from RNAcentral.